UACAGAGGUCUCAACCGUUGUUCGGAUUCAUUGGGCGUAAAGGGUGCGUAGGCGGUCGCGUAAGUCAGGUGUGAAAUCUCGGGGCUCAACCCCGAAACUGCACUUGAUACUGCUUCGCUUGAGUACUGGAGAGGAGACUGGAAUUUACGGUGUAGCAGUGAAAUGCGUAGAUAUCGUAAGGAAGACCAGUGGCGAAGGCGAGUCUCUGGACAGUUACUGACGCUGAGGCACGAAGGCCAGGGGAGCAAACGGG
RNAcentral lists this ribosomal RNA (253 nucleotides) under uncultured bacterium. RNAcentral describes it as "partial 16S ribosomal RNA". It matches the Rfam family "Bacterial small subunit ribosomal RNA", at positions 524 to 776 of the family's 1533-position model. The record is from RNAcentral.